CUACGGGGGGCACCAGUGGUGAAUUUUGCACAAUGGGCGCAAGCCUGAUGCAGCCAUGCCGCGUGUAUGAAGAAGGCCUUCGGGUUGUAAAGUACUUUCAGCGGGGAGGAAGGGAGUAAAGUUAAUACCUUUGCUCAUUGACGUUACCCGCAGAAGAAGCACCGGCUAACUCCGUGCCAGCAGCCGCGGUAAUACGGAGGGUGCAAGCGUUAAUCGGAAUUACUGGGCGUAAAGCGCACGCAGGCGGUUUGUUAAGUCAGAUGUGGAAUCCCCGGGCUCAACCUGGGAACUGCAUCUGAUACUGGCAAGCUUGAGUCUCGUAGCGGGGGGUAGAAUUCCAGGUGUAGCGGUGAAAUGCGUAGAGAUCUGGAGGAAUACCGGUGGCGAAGGCGGCCCCCUGGACGAAGACUGACGCUCAGGUGCGAAAGCGUGGGGAGCAAACAGGAUUAGAUACCCGAGUAGUC
This 464-nucleotide ribosomal RNA is filed under the name uncultured bacterium. RNAcentral describes it as "partial 16S ribosomal RNA". It matches the Rfam family "Bacterial small subunit ribosomal RNA", at positions 339 to 795 of the family's 1533-position model. The record is from RNAcentral.